UGUCGUAACAGUAAGUGUUUUGUUUUUAUUAUUAUUAUUAUUAUUAUUAUUAUUAUUAUUAUUAUUAUUAUUAUUAUUACACAUAGUUAAGAAUGUUUUUAUUUAUAAACGAAUUUAUGGGUUUAUUGUGGUGAAUAAAACAGGUAUCUAACGCUACAGGUGAUGAUGAUAUUGUGUCUAUCCCGGACAUCGUAGACGAAAUCAGGUUUCUGAACAAGGCAAGCGGGUCGAACACAGAAGUCCCGCGAGUCAGGUUUGAAAACCCCGUGCUGGGCUUGUCAAAUCUUGUAGACAAGAUCGCUGCACCCGAGUUCAAAAAUAGUGCUGUGGUCUCCACUGAACGCGGUAUACCAACG
This is a long non-coding RNA of Ictalurus punctatus (channel catfish), 356 nucleotides long. RefSeq lists it as uncharacterized. Lineage: Eukaryota; Metazoa; Chordata; Actinopteri; Siluriformes; Ictaluridae. The transcript has 3 exons. The record is from RefSeq and is a predicted model, not a curated record.